Molecule: long non-coding RNA, 387 nt
Filed under: Elaeis guineensis (African oil palm)
Lineage: Eukaryota; Viridiplantae; Streptophyta; Magnoliopsida; Arecales; Arecaceae
Description: long non-coding RNA (EGUI_LNC030963)
Source: RNAcentral
AUCUAUCAAAGAUGAUAGAUUCUAUCUAGAUCCACACUCUACCCCUACCAUGAACCUACUACAGCCAACAUGAACCGCAAGGAGCCAUAUGACUAAGAGACCAAGUGUAUGUGCAGUCAAACUAUAACAAUCUCAUUGUGAAUAGUUGAGAUACCGCAGAUCAAACGACUAGUCAUACUACUGUAGCUCGAGUAAGUGGCUGACAAGUGAGAACACAUCCAAGUGAUACUUGUUGUAUUGGUCAUACUCGGUAUCUUUAUUCUCUAACAACCAUCUGUAUUCUUGCUUUAGUGUCUCUACACUAUAGACUUGAGACUCAUCUAUCCUAAAAGAAAAGUGAUCAUACACCAAUCUAUCUGGAUCAAUCACUAUCUCCAUGAUGAUCCA